This 644-nucleotide ribosomal RNA is filed under the name Bacillus licheniformis. RNAcentral describes it as "bacterial SSU rRNA". It matches the Rfam family "Bacterial small subunit ribosomal RNA", at positions 388 to 1023 of the family's 1533-position model. The record is from RNAcentral. Lineage: Bacteria; Bacillati; Bacillota; Bacilli; Caryophanales; Bacillaceae.
GGAGCACGCCGCGUGAGUGAUGAAGGUUUUCGGAUCGUAAAACUCUGUUGUUAGGGAAGAACAAGUACCGUUCGAAUAGGGCGGUACCUUGACGGUACCUAACCAGAAAGCCACGGCUAACUACGUGCCAGCAGCCGCGGUAAUACGUAGGUGGCAAGCGUUGUCCGGAAUUAUUGGGCGUAAAGCGCGCGCAGGCGGUUUCUUAAGUCUGAUGUGAAAGCCCCCGGCUCAACCGGGGAGGGUCAUUGGAAACUGGGGAACUUGAGUGCAGAAGAGGAGAGUGGAAUUCCACGUGUAGCGGUGAAAUGCGUAGAGAUGUGGAGGAACACCAGUGGCGAAGGCGACUCUCUGGUCUGUAACUGACGCUGAGGCGCGAAAGCGUGGGGAGCGAACAGGAUUAGAUACCCUGGUAGUCCACGCCGUAAACGAUGAGUGCUAAGUGUUAGAGGGUUUCCGCCCUUUAGUGCUGCAGCAAACGCAUUAAGCACUCCGCCUGGGGAGUACGGUCGCAAGACUGAAACUCAAAGGAAUUGACGGGGGCCCGCACAAGCGGUGGAGCAUGUGGUUUAAUUCGAAGCAACGCGAAGAACCUUACCAGGUCUUGACAUCCUCUGACAACCCUAGAGAUAGGGCUUCCCCUUCGG